Molecule: transfer RNA, 66 nt
Filed under: Xenoturbella monstrosa
Lineage: Eukaryota; Metazoa; Xenacoelomorpha; Xenoturbellidae
Description: tRNA-Gly
Source: RNAcentral
ACUCUUUUAGUACAAAAUAGUACAUGUAACUUCCAAUUACAAAAUUUAAAAACAUUAAAAAGAGUA